Non-coding RNA from Podarcis lilfordi (Lilford's wall lizard), 72 nucleotides. The record is from the annotation of a GenBank genome assembly. Lineage: Eukaryota; Metazoa; Chordata; Lepidosauria; Squamata; Lacertidae.
GGAUAGCUUAGUUGGUUAGAGCAUGGUUCUGAUAAUGCCAAGCUUGCAGGUUCAAUUCCUGUACCAAGACCA